Molecule: ribosomal RNA, 118 nt
Filed under: Pteropus alecto (black flying fox)
Lineage: Eukaryota; Metazoa; Chordata; Mammalia; Chiroptera; Pteropodidae
Source: RNAcentral
GUCUACAGCCAUGGCACCCUGAACAAGCCUGACCCGUCUGAUCUUGAAAGCUUAGCAGGGUCGGGCUUGGUUAGUACUUGGAUGGGAGACCACCUAGGAAGACCAAGUGCUGUAGGUG